GGUGGGUUAUGGUUCGACCCGU
Molecule: non-coding RNA, 22 nt
Filed under: Arabidopsis thaliana (thale cress)
Lineage: Eukaryota; Viridiplantae; Streptophyta; Magnoliopsida; Brassicales; Brassicaceae
Source: RNAcentral